Molecule: long non-coding RNA, 2377 nt
Organism: Sarcophilus harrisii (Tasmanian devil)
Lineage: Eukaryota; Metazoa; Chordata; Mammalia; Dasyuromorphia; Dasyuridae
Source: Ensembl
AGCAGGCAGGCAGAGCUCUGCCCAACGAGGCCCGGGCCCCUUCACCCCGCUCGGCGGCGAGCCUCGGGAGCGCGCGCGUGCGCUCCUCGGAACGUCUGGCUGGCGGCGGAGCCGAGCCCGAGCCAGUGCUGGAGCAGGAGCUGAAGGGGCAGGAGCUGGGUUGGGGAGCGGCUGCGGGAGCCGCGUGAAUAAGGGGGGCGGGUUUCCAGCGCAGCGCCGGCAGAGUCCCCGGGGUUACAAAAGCCGCAGAUCGCGGUAGACUUCUGGCUUGCGAACCGGUGCCGCUCUUACCCUCAAACAAACAGCGCUCGCAAAGACCUUUGGAAUUAUUUUCCUUAUUGUUUUUAAAAGCGUUGUUAUUUUUAUUAUUUUGAAUGGAGAUGACUCCGAGUCCGAGGGUGACUGUCUGUGUAACAAGAUGGGCUUUGCUGUUACCUUUGUGGGGAAGAAUAGUGGCUUGAUUUUCCACCUCUGGUCCUUUUUGAGCUCAGGAGCCCUUAGACGGUGCAUGUAGGGAGUAAGCAUUAGUGAAGACCUGGGUUUUCAUUUAAAAGAGAUAUUAGAUCACUGAUUAUUGCCGCCUUUCUCCGCUCUUGCGGAAGAGGCUCCGAGUCACCCCGAGAUUUCUCCCGCACCUUUUUUUUUUUUUAAAUCACUUUAAAAGGGUUGCAAAAGGAUCCCCAACCGUCCCCAACCCAACGCCGCCGAGUUGAGCAGCAGCCGGAGGCGGCGUGGAAUUGAAGCGCUCUCGCUCCUCUGCCUGCCCGAGCUGGGAAAAUGGAGGCUGUGAUUGAGAAGGAAUGCAGUGCUCUGGGAGGGCUCUUCCAGACCAUUAUCAGCGACAUGAAGGGGAGCUAUCCAGUUUGGGAAGAUUUUAUAAACAAAGCAGGAAAGCUACAGUCCCAGCUCCGGUAAGUGAUUUUUCUUCCAGGCUGUUCCAGAACUGUUGUUUUCAUUGGACUGAUUGGACAUCAUUAGAAACAAUUUAAAUGUUGUGUAUACAAAUGUAUAGAACAUGAUGGAACUUUUUCUUAAAUUAAUGCCAUAUUAAGGUUUAGUAUAUUAAAAUGUCAUAUCAUCCUAAAAGUCCAGUUUAAUGAACAGGACUCUGGACUCUAAAGAAUUAAGAGACUGGUAUUUUAAUCAAUGGCUUAACCAUUAAACUUAUAGAAAAUCACUUAGUUUCCCCAUUAUACAUUGAAUUCUUGCUGUAUCUACUUUAUAGCAUCAUUAAGAAGUUCAUAUGAAAGUUCAUAUGAAAUGAUGUAAUUUAUUGUGAAAAGUAUAAAAGAACUAUUACUGACAAAAGGGAAAAUUAAAAGAUAAGUGGAUAAGUAGUCUAGACUUGAAGAUAGAAAGAACCCAGUUUCAAAUACUACUUCAGAUGCUUAUCAGCAAAUCAGUUAAAUUUCCUAAGGUUCAAUUGUCUGUCUACAAGUGGGGAUAAUAAUAAGCAUCUAAUUCACAGAUUUGUCCUGAGAUUAAAAUGAGAUUUUGUAUUGUAAAGCACUUUGCCAACUGGAAAGUGCUAUAUAAAUGUAACUGCUGUUAUUAUUACUUUAUGGCAAGUUUUUACAUGUCUUAAUAUAAAAUAUUUAUAUAAGUAAACACACAACCUUUAUUACACCAUUUGAUGUGAACUAGAAAUGCUUAUUUAACCAUCAUUUAAAUAAGUUAAAGCAUUUAAAACAUGACUGUAUUAAAAUACUUAUUUCUUUAAUUAUCAUUCACUGUAUUUGGUGAUUUUAUUGACUACUUUAACUUUAGAAAUAUGGUUUCUUAGUGAACCUACAAAUUAAAUAUUUUGGUGACUAAGCCUCUAUGGUGGCAGGAUUACUAGAAAGAGUCAUCAAUAAGCGCUCUUAGCUCAGCAAUUCUGGGUACAUGAAGGACAGGGGAUGAAGAGAUUCAUUGUUCCUUUAUAGUUAAAUAGAAUGAAUCUGUAAUUCUCCCCCUUCCUCCCUUCCCACUUCAAUCCAUGAGACUUCUAGAUAACUUUGUCGCUUAUUGGUUUAUGGACAAGUACUGGUUCAUGAUACUUAUUGUCAGAUACUUUUAUUGUUUAAAAUCUGUAAACUCAAAUAAAUAAAUGUUAAAAAUGUGUGUAUGUGUAUAUUUAUCCUUCCAUUCCUUCCUGCUUUUCUCAAACCUCACAAACCAUGGGUAAUUAUCUCAAAUCAUAGAACUGAGAUAACUUGCUGAUUUUCACCAUAGUUUGGUUAGGAGAUUACUACUUCAAACUACACACUUGGGAUUCCCCUUACUGUCAGGGAACACCAGAAGUUGAGUGGGCUUUUAAUAUGGGUUGUAUCUUCCAGUUGCCAAAUCCCUCAUUAGUUCUGUUCAGGACACACAGGCCUGGAAAUUCUGAAACCGA